RNAcentral lists this ribosomal RNA (422 nucleotides) under uncultured bacterium. RNAcentral's name for it is "bacterial SSU rRNA". It matches the Rfam family "Bacterial small subunit ribosomal RNA", at positions 356 to 775 of the family's 1533-position model. The record is from RNAcentral.
GAGGAAUAUUGGGCAAUGCCCGAAAGGGUGACCCAGCAACGCCGCGUGGAGGAUGAAGGUCGUAAGAUUGUAAACUCCUGUUAGAGGGGAAGAAUAACUAAGUUUGGAGCUUAGUAUGACUGUACCCUCAGAGAAAGCCCCGGCUAACUACGUGCCAGCAGCCGCGGUAAUACGUAGGGGGCAAGCGUUGUCCGGAUUUACUGGGUGUAAAGGGCGUGCAGGCGGAAUGGAAAGUCAGUGGUGAAAUCCUACAGCUUAACUGUAGAACUGCCUUUGAUACUUUCAUUCUUGAGUUCGGGAGAGAGAGACGGAAUUCCAGGUGUAGUGGUGAAAUACGUAGAUAUCUGGAAGAACACCAGUUGCGAAGGCGGUCUCUUGGUCCGAUACUGACGCUGAGGCGCGAAAGCGUGGGGAGCAAACAG